GACGAACGCUGGCGGCGUGCCUAAUACAUGCAAGUAGAACGCUGAAGAGAGGAGCUUGCUCUUCUUGGAUGAGUUGCGAACGGGUGAGUAACGCGUAGGUAACCUGCCUGGUAGCGGGGGAUAACUAUUGGAAACGAUAGCUAAUACCGCAUAAAAUGGAUUAUCGCAUGAUAAUCCAUUGAAAGGUGCAAAUGCAUCACUACCAGAUGGACCUGCGUUGUAUUAGCUAGUUGGUGGGGUAACGGCUCACCAAGGCGACGAUACAUAGCCGACCUGAGAGGGUGAUCGGCCACACUGGGACUGAGACACGGCCCAGACUCCUACGGGAGGCAGCAGUAGGGAAUCUUCGGCAAUGGACGGAAGUCUGACCGAGCAACGCCGCGUGAGUGAAGAAGGUUUUCGGAUCGUAAAGCUCUGUUGUAAGAGAAGAACGAGUGUGAGAGUGGAAAGUUCACACUGUGACGGUAUCUUACCAGAAAGGGACGGCUAACUACGUGCCAGCAGCCGCGGUAAUACGUAGGUCCCGAGCGUUGUCCGGAUUUAUUGGGCGUAAAGCGAGCGCAGGCGGUUAGAUAAGUCUGAAGUUAAAGGCUGUGGCUUAACCAUAGUACGCUUUGGAAACUGUUUAACUUGAGCGCAAGAGGGGAGAGUGGAAUUCCAUGUGUAGCGGUGAAAUGCGUAGAUAUAUGGAGGAACACCGGUGGCGAAAGCGGCUCUCUGGCUUGUAACUGACGCUGAGGCUCGAAAGCGUGGGGAGCAAACAGG
Molecule: ribosomal RNA, 765 nt
Filed under: uncultured Streptococcus sp.
Lineage: Bacteria; Bacillati; Bacillota; Bacilli; Lactobacillales; Streptococcaceae
Description: bacterial SSU rRNA
Rfam family: Bacterial small subunit ribosomal RNA
Source: RNAcentral